GAUGAACGCUCGCUACAGGCUUAACACAUGCAAGUCGAGGGGAAACGACAUCGAAAGCUUGCUUUUGAUGGGCGUCGACCGGCGCACGGGUGAGUAACGCGUAUCCAACCUGCCCAUCACUUGGGAAUAACCUUGCGAAAGUAAGACUAAUACCCAAUGAUAUCCCACGAAGGCAUCGGAAUGGGAUUAAAGAUUUAUCGGUGAUGGAUGGGGAUGCGUCUGAUUAGCUUGUUGGCGGGGUAACGGCCCACCAAGGCAACGAUCAGUAGGGGUUCUGAGAGGAAGGUCCCCCACAUUGGAACUGAGACACGGUCCAAACUCCUACGGGAGGCAGCAGUGAUGAAUAUUGGUCAAUGGGCGAGAGCCUGAACCAGCCAAGUAGCGUGCAGGAAGACGGCCCUAUGGGUUGUAAACUGCUUUUAGAAGGGAAUAAAGUGGGUCACGUGUGACUUUUUGCAUGUACCUUAUGAAUAAGAACCGGCUAAUUCCGUG
RNAcentral lists this ribosomal RNA (492 nucleotides) under uncultured bacterium. Its description in RNAcentral is "partial 16S ribosomal RNA". It matches the Rfam family "Bacterial small subunit ribosomal RNA", at positions 28 to 507 of the family's 1533-position model. The record is from RNAcentral.